This 746-nucleotide long non-coding RNA is filed under the name Homo sapiens (human). Its description in RNAcentral is "non-protein coding PVT1:52". The stretch from base 17 to 194 matches the Rfam family "Pvt1 oncogene conserved region 1". Lineage: Eukaryota; Metazoa; Chordata; Mammalia; Primates; Hominidae. The record is from RNAcentral.
AGAGCGCGUGUGGCGGCCGAGCACAUGGGCCCGCGGGCCGGGCGGGCUCGGGGCGGCCGGGACGAGGAGGGGCGACGACGAGCUGCGAGCAAAGAUGUGCCCCGGGACCCCCGGCACCUUCCAGUGGAUUUCCUUGCGGAAAGGAUGUUGGCGGUCCCUGUGACCUGUGGAGACACGGCCAGAUCUGCCCUCCAGACCAUAGCUGUCUGCAGUGCAGGAAGCCAACUAUUAAGGGGAAACAAAAGUGUUCUUAGGAGUCCUGCUGUCACUGUGGAUUGAGCCGGUGAAGCCCUGAGGGAUUUCAUCGCUGAGGUGGAUGGAGAAGCAGCUGGGGGCCUUGGCUGUAAGGACCCCUAAGGGCCUGAUCUUUUGGCCAGAAGGAGAUUAAAAAGAUGCCCCUCAAGAUGGCUGUGCCUGUCAGCUGCAUGGAGCUUCGUUCAAGUAUUUUCUGAGCCUGAUGGAUUUACAGUGAUCUUCAGUGGUCUGGGGAAUAACGCUGGUGGAACCAUGCACUGGAAUGACACACGCCCGGCACAUUUCAGGAUACUAAAAGUGGUUUUAAGGGAGGCUGUGGCUGAAUGCCUCAUGGAUUCUUACAGCUUGGAUGUCCAUGGGGGACGAAGGACUGCAGCUGGCUGAGAGGGUUGAGAUCUCUGUUUACUUAGAUCUCUGCCAACUUCCUUUGGGUCUCCCUAUGGAAUGUAAGACCCCGACUCUUCCUGGUGAAGCAUCUGAUGCACGUUCCA